UGCGUAAGAUAGCCUGGGAUUGUGCGUCUGACGGGCGCUUGUAGUUGUUCCGCAAGUACGGACGCUUGCCGCGACUGCUCGGUCAGCGGGGACGGCGCGACGUAGAAUGCGUCCGAGAUCGGGAGACCACACGUCUCAACUCCAGU
Neodiprion fabricii is the source of this 146-nucleotide long non-coding RNA. RefSeq lists it as uncharacterized. The record is from RefSeq and is a predicted model, not a curated record. Lineage: Eukaryota; Metazoa; Arthropoda; Insecta; Hymenoptera; Diprionidae. The transcript is spliced from 5 exons.